Molecule: ribosomal RNA, 941 nt
Filed under: uncultured archaeon
Lineage: Archaea
Description: bacterial SSU rRNA
Rfam family: Archaeal small subunit ribosomal RNA
Source: RNAcentral
UUCCGGUUGAUCCUGCCGGACCCUACUGCUAUUGGGGCAAGACUAAAACAUGCAAGUUGAACGUUUCCAACUAUGGCGAAACGUAUGGGACGGCUCAGUAACACGUGGCUAACCUGCCCUUGAGACGAGUGUAAUCCCGGGAAACUGGGGCUAAUACGCGAUAGGUGAAGAUGCCUGGGAUGGGUCAUCACCUAAAGGACGUUGAGACCAUGUUUCACAGUGUCGCUCAAGGAUGGGGCCGCGGCCGAUCAGGUAGUUGGCGAGGUAACUGCUCACCAAGCCUUUGACCGGUACGGGCCGUGAGAGCGGGAGCCCGGAGAUGGGCACUGAGAUAAGGGCCCAGGCCCUAUGGGGCGCACCAGUUGCGAAACCUCCGCAAUGCGCGAAAGCGUGACGGGGUUACCCCAAGUGCCAUCCGCUGAGGACGGCUUUUCUUUGGUGUAAUGAGCCAAAGGAAUAAGGGGAGGGCAAGACUGGUGUCAGCCGCCGCGGUAAUACCAGCUCCCCGAGUGGUAGGGACAAUUAUUGGGCUUAAAGCGUCCGUAGCCGGCCUGACAAGUCUUUCGUUAAAUCCAGCGACUUAAUCGUUGGGCUGCGGGAGAUACUAUCGGGCUAGGGGACGGGAGAGGCCGAUGGUAUUCUUGGGGUAGGGGUGAAAUCCUAUAAUCCCAGGAGGACCACCAGUGGCGAAGGCGAUCGGCUAGAACGCGCUCGACGGUGAUGGACGAAAGCUGGGGGAGCGAACCGGAUUAGAUACCCGGGUAGUCCCAGCUGUAAACGAUGCGAGCUAGUGUUGGGGUGGUUACGAACCGCUUCAGUGCCGUAAGGAAACUGUUAAGCUCGCGGUCUGGGAAAGUACGGUCGCAAGCUGAAACUUUAAGGAAUUGGCGGGGGGAGCACUACGACGCGGUGAAGCUUGCGUUCAAUUGGAGUCAACGCGG